This is a long non-coding RNA of Magnolia sinica, 1527 nucleotides long. RefSeq lists it as uncharacterized. The transcript has 2 exons. The record is from RefSeq and is a predicted model, not a curated record. Lineage: Eukaryota; Viridiplantae; Streptophyta; Magnoliopsida; Magnoliales; Magnoliaceae.
CCAAGUAUACGGUGAGCCAAUCCAUAAAACUUAAUGUACAUCCUUCAAAAUAUCCCAAUUCAAGUGUGGGAUUCAACUCUUUUGGGGUGCAAUGCAAGAAAUCUUACAAGUAUGCCAAAAAAUCAGCUCUAUCUCAUCAUCAGGUGGGCCACACUAUAGAAGACAAUCGAUAAUCACCCAUAAACCUCAAAGUUCAAGUAGUGGCUCACGUGAUAGUUGGGUCAGCUUGAUUUUUCGGGCUUCCCAUGAAAUCACGGGUGGUUGAGUGGAGGUAUAAGUCACGAUGUGAAUUGGAGGUAUUUGAGUGGCUGUCGAUUGUUUUCUAUGAUGUGCCCUACCAUGUUGUGUUUAUGCAAUCCUAACCGCAAAUCAAGUGAUCCUCACCAUCUUUUAGUGGCCUGCUUAGGUUACCAUAAAAGGGAAGCUAAAUAAAUGGACGACUGAGCUGACUCAGCAGGUGGGCCACAGUAUUCAAAACAAAUGGAUAAUUAAGGAAACCUUGUGAAGAUUUUUAAGCCCUUGAUUUGUUUUGUACUUUUGAAAGUACCGAAAGCAUGCAGAUGGGUUGUAUCCAAAAACGGAACUGACCACACAAUCGAUCUUAGAUUCUUAAUAAUCUGAUUUCAUGCUUUGAAACUGGACCUUUGAAAAACGUAUUUCUAACCAUACAUUUGAUAGCCACCAAUGGGAUGGUUAGGAUCAUUUUUGCAGUCCCACUUUCGGACUAUGCUUCUUUCACAAUGGGCCCUAUGAUUUGGACGGCCCGGAUGGAUAAACGUACAUAUUGUACGGCAAUCCAAACAUCCUACAUCCAUAUAUACCAGCUAAUGCACAGGCCACCGCAUAUGCCAGCUUGGUGGACGAGUGCAAUAUCCAAGCCAUCCAUCUCAAUGGUACCACCAUGUAGAUUCUCUCUUAUUGAAUCAGGACGGUUCACUUGUCAUUUGGGCCACAACAAAUGUAUGGUUGCAAAAAAUCCGCUGAAGUUUAGUAACUUUUCGAUUUAUUUCUAAUAUCAUGGGUAGCUCACUUACUAAAUGGAUCAUCUUUAUCUUUUUGAGCAAGAACAUCUACGUUGUGAGGUCCACCUGAUGGAUGGCUUGAUAUGUCACUUAUCCAACCAUGCUGGCGUGUACACUGUCCAUCCGGUUUGUCAGCCUAUUUCAGGGCAUUGGCCCAAGAAUGCAGCGGAUGCAAAUCUCAGGUGGACCACACCACAGGAAACAGCGUAGCAAAUACAAAAUUCAGGUGGACCACAUGUAGGGCUGUACACGAACCGAGUUAACUCGGUUAGCUCGCUCGACUCGGAUCGAAAAAGCUUGAUUCGACUUAGUUAGAAACUGAGUUCAAGCUGAUUUUUUGAGCUCGAAAAAAUUUCGAACUUGGUUCGAGCUUACCCGAGCUCGACUCAACUCGGAUUGAACUCCAACUCGAAUCAAACCAGUUCAAUGACUUGGUUACUUUGAUAUUGAUGUUGCUCAUCAAGUGUUUAAUGAAAUGACUUAAUGGAUUGUCAGUUGGUGGCAA